UGGGGAAUAUUGGACAAUGGGCGCAAGCCUGAUCCAGCCAUGCCGCGUGAGUGAAGAAGGCCUUCGGGUUGUAAAGCUCUUUCGGCGGGGACGAAACGGUUCGUGACAACACCACGGACUAAUGACGGUACCCGCAUAAGAAGCACCGGCUAACUACGUGCCAGCAGCCGCGGUAAUACGUAGGGUGCAGGCGUUAAUCGGAAUUACUGGGCGUAAAGCGUGCGCAGGCGGUUUGUUAAGACAGGUGUGAAAUCCCCGGGCUUAACCUGGGAAUUGCGCUUGUAACUGGCAGACUGGAGUGUGGCAGAGGGGGGUGGAAUUCCAAGUGUAGCAGUGAAAUGCGUAGAUAUUUGGAGGAACACCGAUGGCGAAGGCAGCCCCCUGGGCUAACACUGACGCUCAUGCACGAAAGCGUGGGGAGCAAACAGGAUUAGAUACCCACUAGUCCCUGAGCGGGCUGGCAAGGCGCAU
Molecule: ribosomal RNA, 471 nt
Filed under: uncultured bacterium
Lineage: Bacteria
Description: bacterial SSU rRNA
Rfam family: Bacterial small subunit ribosomal RNA
Source: RNAcentral